RNAcentral lists this signal recognition particle RNA (298 nucleotides) under Cebus imitator (Panamanian white-faced capuchin). Its description in RNAcentral is "Metazoan signal recognition particle RNA (ENSCCAG00000006514.1)". It matches the Rfam family "Metazoan signal recognition particle RNA". From Rfam's summary of the family: The signal recognition particle (SRP) is a universally conserved ribonucleoprotein. It is involved in the co-translational targeting of proteins to membranes. Lineage: Eukaryota; Metazoa; Chordata; Mammalia; Primates; Cebidae. The record is from RNAcentral.
GCCGAGCACGGUGGCACGUGCCUAUAGUCCCAGCUAUCCGGGAGGCUGAGGCUGGUGGAUCGCUUGAGCCCAGGAGUUCUGGGCUGUAGUGCGCUAUGCCUAUCGGGUGUCCGCACUAUGUUCAGCAUCAAUAUGGUGAUCUCCCAGGAGCAGGGGACCACCAGGUUGCCUAAGGAAGGGUGAACUGGCCCAGGUUGGAAAUGGAGCAGGUCAAAACUCCGUGCUGAUCUGUAGUGGGAUCGCACCUGUGAAUAGCCACUGCACUCCAGCCUGGGCAACAUAGCGAGACCCCAUCUCU